Molecule: non-coding RNA, 201 nt
Organism: Pelobates cultripes (western spadefoot toad)
Lineage: Eukaryota; Metazoa; Chordata; Amphibia; Anura; Pelobatidae
Source: the annotation of a GenBank genome assembly
AAGGAGCAGAAAGGGAUCAGAAAGAGAAAGGAGCAGAAGGAGCCAAGGAGGAGAGAAGACAGUGUCAGAAGAAAAAGAAGACUGUGUCAAAUGAAGGAGAAGAAAAGGAGAUUGGAGCAGGAAGGACAAGUGAAGUGAACCCUCUACUUUAUUCUGGACACCACAUCAUAAGGCUUUGGUACCUGGGCCUGACAGGGAAAC